UGAGUGCACUCGACUGGUUGAUGCGAUC
RNAcentral lists this small RNA (28 nucleotides) under Bombyx mori (domestic silkworm). Its description in RNAcentral is "ovarian small RNA-32279". The record is from RNAcentral. Lineage: Eukaryota; Metazoa; Arthropoda; Insecta; Lepidoptera; Bombycidae.